GGCCCGCGGCGGAAAGAGCGCUCCGCCUGGAGACUGAGGGCGUGGGUCAGUGGGGACUCGAGGCGGGCCUGGCGGCGCUCUAUCCCUCCCACUGCGGCUGCGGCUCGCUUCUUUAACUCGCGAGCUUCUGGCGCGCUGUUCUGGGUUUCCACGUGGGCCCGCCCACCGCCAUCUUGAAGCUGUGCCAAGGUACAAACAACAGUGAUUAUCAUACAGCUGGAAAGAAAGGCAAAGCAAAUGCUUUUUAUUUUAGAUUGGGCAAUUAAGCAGAAACUGCAGUUUUAGUAUGAAGAACGGAGGUGGAAGAACAAGCCGAAUCAGAAGACGAAAACUCUUCACAAGUUCUGAAUCAAGAGGAGUGAAUGAGAGCUACAAGCCUGAAUUUAUAGAGCUUAAGAAGUGGCUGAAAGAUAGGAAGUUUGAAGAUACAAACUUAAUACCUGCUCGUUUUCCAGGUACAGGAAGAGGGCUGAUGAGCAAAACAUCCCUGCGGGAGGGACAGAUGAUUAUCUCAUUGCCUGAGAGUUGCCUGCUCACCACGGACACAGUGCUUAGAAGCUACUUAGGGGCGUAUAUUGCCAAGUGGCAGCCUCCUCCAUCUCCUGUGCUGGCUCUUUGCGCCUUUUUAGUUUCAGAAAGGCAUGCUGGGGACCGGUCUCCCUGGAAACCUUACCUGGAGGUUUUGCCCAAGGCCUACACCUGCCCUGUUUGUUUGGAGCCAGAAGUGGUGAAUCUUCUUCCCAAACCUUUGAAAGCAAAGGCCAGAGAGCAGAGAACCCACGUGCAGGAGUUCGUUUCUUCCUCCAGAGACUUUUUCUCUUCCUUGCAGCCUCUGUUUUCGGAGGCCGUCGAGAGCAUCUUUAGCUACAGCGCGCUCCUGUGGGCUUGGUGCACCGUGAACACCAGGGCUGUGUACAGGAAGCGCGCGCCGAGGCAGUGCUUUUCCGCAGAGCCGGACACCUGCGCGCUCGCCCCGUUCCUCGAUCUGCUGAACCACAGCCCCGACGCCCAGGUAAAAGCAGCGUUUAAUGAGGAAACUCGCUGUUAUGAAAUUAGAACAGCUGUGAGCUGUGGAAAACACAAAGAGGUGCUCAUCUGCUAUGGCCCUCACGAUAACCACCGCCUGCUCCUCGAGUAUGGAUUUGUUUCCAUCCGCAAUCCUCAUGCUUGUGUUUAUGUCUCAAAAGAUGUACUUGUUAAAUAUCUUCCAUCAACAGAUAAACGGAUGAACCAAAAGAUUUCCAUUUUAGAGGAUCACGACUUUAUAGAAAACUUGACGUUUGGAUGGGAUGGACCGUCUUGGCGGUUACUCACAGCUCUUAAGUUGUUAUGUCUGGAAGCUGAAGAAUUGACAUGCUGGAAAAAAGUACUUAUUGGGGAAAUAAUUUCAGAUACAAAUGAGAAGACAAGUUUGGACAUAGCCCAGAAAAUAUGCCAUUAUUUCAUCAAGGAGAGUAAGGCUGUGCUUCAAAAGAUUUCUCAUAUGAAAGAUGAAGAAGUGGCUUUGAUAAACCAACUAACUUUGGUAGAAACACUGUGGACAGAAGAGCUGAAGAUUCUCCAGGCCUCUGCCGAGACCCUAACCAGUUUGCAGACAGCUUUUACGUAACUUCACUGAAGUGCAGGUGAUCACCUCCAAUGGAUGUUUAUUCUUCUGGAUAAAAAUACGACUAAGGAUGGUGGCAGCCAUCCUUGGGAUGCUGGGACGCCCUCUCACGCGGGCUGCAUUGGAGGCUACGUGCUUCUCUGGUGCAGGACAUCAUGUAACCAGCAAGUGAGAAUCGUCUGACCAAACUGAGUCCCAGAGAGCAGAAACGAUGCACCUGAGGGCCAGGAAGUGCAUGGUGAUAGGUCUCCCAACCCCUGGGAGCCUGUACUGGCCCACAGGAACCAGACUUCUUUAUCACCAGUAGACCCUCCUUCGGUACAUGAGAGCAUGUUUGGCCAAGGUUGACGGACUGGAAAGCAGGAUCCAGUGGCUCACCUACAGAAGGAGAUGGAGAAGGAGUCCUGCGGUGACAUCAGGAUCUGAACACGGAUGGCUUCGAUGACAUUUGAAGGUCCCUGCCAUUUGUAACCUUCCAUGAUUGUUGGGAAGUCACUGGGGAGAAGAGGAUGUCACAUAAGGUGAUGGAGACCCUGACGGAAGCCCAGAGAAAUUAAGCAACAUACCCUCCUUCUGACAAGCUUUCCAGAACCUCGAAUUCCCAGAACCUCGAAUUCCCAGAGUUAAGUAUGGUGACUCGAAGAAACUUGGAGGUGGGGAAAAUGAGACUCAGAGAAAUUAAGCAGUUUGAUGAACCACACUAGAUUUGGAAACAGCUGCACUCAGAUGAUCAUUCUGUAAAAACAGGUGUUCCAUACCGUAGAUGGAAAGAGCUCUGUGCUUCUAAUCUCCUACCUGCAAUCUGUGUGAGGAAGGUGCUAGAAGUUCUGCAGGAGGCCUGGGGAAAAAGCCAGGGUCCUGUUCACGGUGCACAGGAAGUCUGGUUCCGUUCUGAAGAGUGGGUAGCUGACCUGAGAGCAAGUGGAAACAGAGCAAAACAAACAACAAACCAAACCUAAUCCAAAAAAAAAAAGGCACUUCCUUUCUUCUUGAGAUAGGACACUGUAAUCCUUAUGGUUCUGAAGUCUAGAAAGGAUUGCAGAACUUUUGGCGUUCACAGCUAAGGGCAGAUAAGAAGACUGACUCUCUUCCUAUGAGCAUGAUGCAUGUUUUAAGUCAUUUUCCAUGCCACCUUCUUGUUGUGAUGUGUUGGCGUGUUGGUCAACAAGGAAACAAACUUAGCUGGAGCAGAUCAGGGGCCACCCAUGGGUGACAGAGGUGUCAGCUGAGAGGUGGACACCGCUUGGGUCUGGGAACAAAUAAAAAGCCAGCUGAUGUCCCCUGAUCCUUUACUUAGAUCCUCCCAUUUAUGUUGGAAUCUCCCAUUACUCCAUCAGGACACCAGGAAAUUUGAAGAGAUGAAGUGAGUCUCCUUUUUGGGAUCUUUCUUAUUUUCAUCUCUGUCCCUCCUCAUCUCACUCCGUCCCUUCAUCUCACCUCCCCUACCCCAUUUGUCCAUUUGUUUGUCUUCCUUUGGGUUUUUCUCUGAAAAUCUGCUUUUUAAAUUUAUCUCUUUCUUCCACUGUAGGUGGUGAUUUGCAUUCUGAACCCAUGGUGUGCAGUAAGGCUUCUCCGAAAAAGAGUCCUCAAAAAGCUCAUAGUGUAAAAUGUUUCUAUCAUCUGGGAAAGACAUUUCAGAAUUGUUGAUAAGUUUCAUGUUUAUCAGCAUUUUUUUCAGGCUAGCGGUCCGGAUGGAACUUUUCCAGCCUUUCUUCCAAGUUUCACCUCACUCCAAGUUGCUGCCACUAUAGAUGAGAUAUUUGUAAUUGGAUUCAGGC
Balaenoptera musculus (blue whale) is the source of this 3384-nucleotide RNA transcript. It is a transcript of the gene named SET domain containing 4, with no coding region annotated. The transcript is spliced from 19 exons. NCBI's taxonomy places the organism in Eukaryota, Metazoa, Chordata, Mammalia, Artiodactyla, Balaenopteridae. The record is from RefSeq and is a predicted model, not a curated record.